GAUGAACGCUGGCGGCGUGCCUAAUACAUGCCAGUCGAGCGAACAGACGAGGAGCUUGCUCCUCUGACGUUAGCGGCGGACGGGUGAGUAACACGUGGAUAACCUACCUAUAAGACUGGGAUAACUUCGGGAAACCGGAGCUAAUACCGGAUAAUAUAUUGAACCGCAUGGUUCAAUAGUGAAAGACGGUUUUGCUGUCACUUAUAGAUGGAUCCGCGCCGCAUUAGCUAGUUGGUAAGGUAACGGCUUACCAAGGCAACGAUGCGUAGCCGACCUGAGAGGGUGAGCGGCCACAGUGGGACUGCGACACGGUACAGACACAGAAGGGCGGCAGAAGUAGGGAAGCUACAGCAAUGUGCGAAAGCCUGAAGGAGCUAUACCGAGGGAGUAAAGAAGGUCUACGGAUCGUAAAACUCUGUGAUUAGAGAAGAAAAAACGUGUAAGUAACAAUGCACGCCUGGAGGGGAGCUAAGAAGAGGGACAAGGAGCGUUAAGAC
This 497-nucleotide ribosomal RNA is filed under the name uncultured bacterium. RNAcentral's name for it is "partial 16S ribosomal RNA". It matches the Rfam family "Bacterial small subunit ribosomal RNA", at positions 30 to 543 of the family's 1533-position model. The record is from RNAcentral.